Molecule: ribosomal RNA, 780 nt
Filed under: uncultured organism
Description: SSU rRNA
Rfam family: Bacterial small subunit ribosomal RNA
Source: RNAcentral
CAGGAUGAACGCUGGCGGCGUGCUUAACACAUGCAAGUCGAACGAAGCACUUUAUUUGAUUUCCUUCGGGACUGAUUAUUUUGUGACUGAGUGGCGGACGGGUGAGUAACGCGUGGGUAACCUGCCUUGUACAGGGGGAUAACAGUUGGAAACGGCUGCUAAUACCGCAUAAGCGCACGGCAUCGCAUGAUGCAGUGUGAAAAACUCCGGUGGUAUAAGAUGGACCCGCGUUGGAUUAGCUAGUUGGUGAGGUAACGGCCCACCAAGGCGACGAUCCAUAGCCGACCUGAGAGGGUGACCGGCCACAUUGGGACUGAGACACGGCCCAAACUCCUACGGGAGGCAGCAGUGGGGAAUAUUGCACAAUGGGCGAAAGCCUGAUGCAGCGACGCCGCGUGAGCGAAGAAGUAUUUCGGUAUGUAAAGCUCUAUCAGCAGGGAAGAUAAUGACGGUACCUGACUAAGAAGCACCGGCUAAAUACGUGCCAGCAGCCGCGGUAAUACGUAUGGUGCAAGCGUUAUCCGGAUUUACUGGGUGUAAAGGGAGCGCAGGCGGUGCGGCAAGUCUGAUGUGAAAGCCCGGGGCUCAACCCCGGUACUGCAUUGGAAACUGUCGUACUAGAGUGUCGGAGGGGUAAGCGGAAUUCCUAGUGUAGCGGUGAAAUGCGUAGAUAUUAGGAGGAACACCAGUGGCGAAGGCGGCUUACUGGACGAUAACUGACGCUGAGGCUCGAAAGCGUGGGGAGCAAACAGGAUUAGAUACCCUGGUAGUCCACGCCGU